AAAUAAAUUGCUCAAGAUCACACAGGUAGUAAAUGCCAACACCAGAAUUUGAAUCUGGAUCCUCACAUCUCACAUGCAGUACAUUUGCAGCUAACAAGAUGAGGAAACUGAGGCCUAGGAAGCAUUGAGAAAAGUGCCCAAGGCUGCAGAGGUCAUCGGCAUCUGAGAUGGGAUUCCAAUCUACAUCUCCUCUCCACUUUAACAAGCUGCCUCCUUGCUUGUCUGGGUCCAUGUUAAUUCCUCCCGGCAAUUGGAGUUAGGUGACUUGCCCAGGGUCACACAGCUAG
Molecule: non-coding RNA, 287 nt
Organism: Phascolarctos cinereus (koala)
Lineage: Eukaryota; Metazoa; Chordata; Mammalia; Diprotodontia; Phascolarctidae
Source: RefSeq, a predicted model, not a curated record